This 253-nucleotide ribosomal RNA is filed under the name uncultured bacterium. RNAcentral describes it as "partial 16S ribosomal RNA". It matches the Rfam family "Bacterial small subunit ribosomal RNA", at positions 524 to 776 of the family's 1533-position model. The record is from RNAcentral.
UACGUAGGGUGCGAGCGUUGUCCGGAAUUACUGGGCGUAAAGAGCUCGUAGGCGGUCUGUCGCGUCUGCUGUGAAAACUCAGGGCUUAACCCUGAGCUUGCAGUGGGUACGGGCAGACUAGAGUGCGGUAGGGGAGACUGGAAUUCCUGGUGUAGCGGUGAAAUGCGCAGAUAUCAGGAGGAACACCGGUGGCGAAGGCGGGUCUCUGGGCCGUAACUGACGCUGAGGAGCGAAAGCAUGGGGAGCGAACAGG